GGUUUGUAUGUCUUGAUUCAAGGCUGAAUAAGAAAGUUGACAUCAGACCAAACUAUUAGAGAAUUUCAUAUUAUUGUAUGCAAUUGUUAGUCAAUAAAAGCAGCAAUCAAAAUAUUGCAGCAAAAACCUUUAGUGACUAAAGGUGAAUAAUUUUCCUGUACUAAGGGUCAGAUAAACCUCCCUAGAAUUAAAGUCUAAAUUUCCAUCGACUUGGGGUGCUAGAACAUUAUAUAUUCUGGUAAUUUUCCCCUCGAGCAACCAAGUUGUUUUCCUCAAAUGAACAGCAUUUAUUUAUCCCAACUACACUAUGGCAGAUUCUUCUUCGAUGCAUU
This 332-nucleotide unclassified non-coding RNA is filed under the name Hevea brasiliensis (rubber tree). The record is from RNAcentral. Lineage: Eukaryota; Viridiplantae; Streptophyta; Magnoliopsida; Malpighiales; Euphorbiaceae.